UAGAGUUUGAUCCUGGCUCAGAACGUACGCUGGCGGCACGCCUAACACAUGCAAGUCGAACGAAGUAGCAAUACUUAGUGGCAGACGGGUGAGUAACAUGUAGGUAUCUACCCUUUGGCCUGGAAUAACACGAGGAAACUUGUGCUAAUACCGGAUAAGUCUUUACGGAGAAAGCUUUAUGCACCAUUGGAUGAGCCUGCACUUGAUUAGUUUGUUGGUAGGGUAAUGGCCUACCAAGACUGUGAUCAAUAGCUGAUUUGAGAGGAUGAUCAGCCACAUUGGGACUGAGACACGGCCCAAACUCCUACGGGAGGCAGCAGUGGGGAAUCUUGCACAAUGGAGGAAACUCUGAUGCAGCGAUGCCGCGUGAGUGAAGAAGGCCUUUGGGUUGUAAAGCUCUUUCGUCGGGGAAGAAAAUGACUGUACCCGAAUAAGAAGGUCCGGCUAACUUCGUGCCAGCAGCCGCGGUAAUACGAAGGGACCUAGCGUAGUUCGGAAUUACUGGGCUUAAAGAGUUCGUAGGUGGUUGAAAAAGUUGGUGGUGAAAUCCCAGAGCUUAACUCUGGAACUGCCAUCAAAACUUUUCAGCUAGAGUUUGAUAGAGGAAAGCAGAAUUUCUAGUGUAGAGGUGAAAUUCGUAGAUAUUAGAAAGAAUACCAAUUGCGAAGGCAGCUUUCUGGAUCAUUACUGACACUGAGGAACGAAAGCAUGGGUAGCGAAGAGGAUUAGAUACCCUCGUAGUCCAUGCCGUAAACGAUGUGUGUUAGACGUUGGAAAUUUAUUUUCAGUGUCGCAGCGAAAGCGAUAAACACACCGCCUGGGGAGUACGACCGCAAGGUUAAAACUCAAAUGAAUUGACGGGGACCCGCACAAGUAGUGGAGCAUGUGGUUUAAUUCGAAGAUACGCGCAGAACCUUACCAACACUUGACAUGUUCGUCGCGACUCUAAGAGAUUAGAGUUUUCGGUUCGGCCGGACGAAACACAGGUGCUGCAUGGCUGUCGUCAGCUCGUGUCAUGAGAUGUUGGGUUAAGUCCCGCAACGAGCGCAACCCUCACUUUUAGUUGCCAUCAUUAAGUUGGGCACUCUGAAAGAACUGCCAGUGAUAAGCUGGAGGAAGGUGGGGAUGACGUCAAGUCCUCAUGGCCCUUACGUGUUGGGCUACACACGUGCUACAAUGGUAUCUACAACAGGAAGCAAAACAGCGAUGUUAAGCAAAUCCUUAAAAGAUACCUCAGUUCGGAUUGCACUCUGCAACUCGAGUGCAUGAAGCUGGAAUUACUAGUAAUCGUGGAUCAGCGUGCCACGGUGAAUGCGUUCCCGGGUCUUGUACACACCGCCCGUCACACCAUGGGAGUUGGUUCUACCUUAAGGCAAGGCUUUAAAACCUUGAUCACGGUAUAGUCAGCGACUGGGGUGAAGUCGUAACAAGGUAACCA
RNAcentral lists this ribosomal RNA (1438 nucleotides) under uncultured bacterium. RNAcentral's name for it is "bacterial SSU rRNA". It matches the Rfam family "Bacterial small subunit ribosomal RNA". The record is from RNAcentral.